AAUAAAAUGCCUGAUAAAAAGGGUUAUCUUGAUAGGAUAAAUUAUAUACUAUUUGUAUUUUUAUUA
This 66-nucleotide transfer RNA is filed under the name Teliapsocus conterminus. RNAcentral describes it as "tRNA-Ile". Lineage: Eukaryota; Metazoa; Arthropoda; Insecta; Psocodea; Amphipsocidae. The record is from RNAcentral.